Neltuma alba is the source of this 579-nucleotide long non-coding RNA. RefSeq lists it as uncharacterized. Lineage: Eukaryota; Viridiplantae; Streptophyta; Magnoliopsida; Fabales; Fabaceae. The record is from RefSeq and is a predicted model, not a curated record. The transcript has 3 exons.
AUCUCUCAGCUAUAACUCGCCAAAUGGGAAUGGAUAUGGAAGGAGAGAUGUUCAUCUAUGUCCAUGGAAAGACUGGCUUGCUCUCAGCGAAUUCGGCUGUGAUUUCUUUGAUUAAAUCCAGUGACAGGAGACACAGUAUUACACAUGACUGUGUCUAAUAGGCAAGAGAAGGUGACAGCUAACAUGAUGAAUUUAUUAGUUUUUAAAGAGAAUAAGUUGGGAACCAAAGAAGAAUGUGUUAGUUACUUGGAUGGAUGUUACGAGAAGAGCUGGAACAUGAACAUUGUCCUUGGAGCUGAAAAUACCCACACAAAAAAACAGCUCAAUGGGAAAUGUUGAAAUGUGCAAGAAAAUCAAUAGCAGAGACCCCUCAUUAAUUUUCAGAUGAAAUAUCAUGCCUAGUUUUCUAAUAAAUCUACGAACCCACCCACCCAGUUUUUUUGGCUAUUAAAGUUGGUCAAAUUUGACAUCGAAACCUUCCAUCUCUAGUAUCUAAUGUGUCAAGGCCCGGCUGUCACUACCUUGUACAUGAAUAUAUGAAGAACGGAAGCAUACAGUCCGUAUUGUCCUUGGCAUCAA